AUUGAACGCUGGCGGCAGGCCUAACACAUGCAAGUCGAACGGUAACAGGAAACAGCUUGCUGUUUCGCUGACGAGUGGCGGCCGGGUGAGUAAUGUCUGGGAAACUGCCUGAUGGAGGGGGAUAACUACUGGAAACGGUAGCUAAUACCGCAUAACGUCGCAAGACCAAAGAGGGGGACCUUCGGGCCUCUUGCCAUCGGAUGUGCCCAGAUGGGAUUAGCCAGUAGGUGGGGUAACGGCUCACCUAGGCGACGAUCCCUAGCUGGUCUGAGAGGAUGACCAGCCACACUGGAACUGAGACACGGUCCAGACUCCUACGGGAGGCAGCAGUGGGGAAUAUUGCACAAUGGGCGCAAGCCUGAUGCAGCCAUGCCGCGUGUAUGAAGAAGGCCUUCGGGUUGUAAAGUACUUUCAGCGGGGAUGAAGGGAGUAAAGUUAAUACCUUUGCUAAUUGACGUUACCCGCAGAAGAAGCACCGGCUAACUCCGUG
This 490-nucleotide ribosomal RNA is filed under the name uncultured bacterium. RNAcentral's name for it is "partial 16S ribosomal RNA". It matches the Rfam family "Bacterial small subunit ribosomal RNA", at positions 30 to 507 of the family's 1533-position model. The record is from RNAcentral.